AGUGGGAUAGCUGGGUCAAAUGGUGGAUUCAUUCCAAGUUUUCCAAGAAAUCUCCAUACUAUUUUCCAGAUUGGCUGUACCAAUUUACAUUUCCACUGGCAAU
Molecule: microRNA precursor, 103 nt
Filed under: Marmota monax (woodchuck)
Lineage: Eukaryota; Metazoa; Chordata; Mammalia; Rodentia; Sciuridae
Source: RNAcentral